GACGAACGCUGGCGGCGUGCUUAACACAUGCAAGUCGAACGGAAAGGCCCUGCUUUUGUGGGGUGCUCGAGUGGCGAACGGGUGAGUAACACGUGAGUAACCUGCCCUUGACUUUGGUAUAACUUCAGGAAACUGGGGCUAAUACCGGAUAGGAGCUCCUGCUGCAUGGUGGGGGUUGGAAAGUUUCGGCGGUUGGGGCUGGACUCGCGGCUCAUCAGCUUGUUGGUGUGGUAGUGGCUUACAAAGGUUUUGACGGGUAGCCGGACUGAGAGGGUGACCGGCCACAUUGGGACUGAGGUGCGGCCCAGACGCAUACGGGAGGCAGCAGUGGGGAAUAGUGCACGAUGGGCGGAAGCCUGAUGCAGCAACGCCGCGUGCGGGAUGACGGCCUUCGGGUUGUAAACCGCUUUCGCCUGUGACGAAGCGUGAGUGACGGUAAUGGGUAAAGAAGCACCGGCUAACUACGUG
RNAcentral lists this ribosomal RNA (468 nucleotides) under uncultured bacterium. RNAcentral describes it as "partial 16S ribosomal RNA". It matches the Rfam family "Bacterial small subunit ribosomal RNA", at positions 28 to 507 of the family's 1533-position model. The record is from RNAcentral.